This 578-nucleotide long non-coding RNA is filed under the name Gossypium raimondii (Peruvian cotton). Its description in RNAcentral is "long non-coding RNA (GRAI_LNC004979)". Lineage: Eukaryota; Viridiplantae; Streptophyta; Magnoliopsida; Malvales; Malvaceae. The record is from RNAcentral.
CUUCAAUUUACAGCAUUUAAACACUUAAAUUUUCAGCACUUAAACAUAUUAAUUAACAACAUUUACACACCUCAAUUACAGCGAUAAAACAUCUCAAUUUCCAGCAACUAAAUACUUCAAUUUGUAGCACUUAAACACUUAAAUUUGCAGCACUUAAACACUUCAAUUUACAGCAUUUAAACACUUAAAUUUGCAACACUUAAACAUAUCAGUUAACAACAUUUAUACACCUCAAUUACGGCGAUAAAACAUCUCAAUUUCCAGCAACUAAACACUUCAAUUUGCAGCACUUAAAACACUUCAAUUUGCAGCACUUAAACACGCCAAUUUACAGCAUUUAAACACUUAAAUUUGCAGCACUUAAACAUAUCAAUUAACAACAUUUAUACACCUCAAUUACAGCGAUAAAACAUCUCAAUUUCCAGCAACUAAGCACUUCAAUUUGCAGCACUUAAACACUGCAAUUUGCAGCACUUAAACACUUCAAUUUACAACAUUUAAACACUUAAAUUUGCAGCACUUAAACAUAUCAAUUAACAACAUUUAUACACCUCAAUUACAGCGAUAAAACAUCUCAA